Urocitellus parryii (Arctic ground squirrel) is the source of this 170-nucleotide long non-coding RNA. RefSeq lists it as uncharacterized. The record is from RefSeq and is a predicted model, not a curated record. NCBI's taxonomy places the organism in Eukaryota, Metazoa, Chordata, Mammalia, Rodentia, Sciuridae.
AAAGAACCCAGGGCCUUGUGCAUGCUAGAUGGACUUAACUAAGGAACAGAUGAAUAUAAUGGCAAUGAUAAAUACAAAUAAAUCAAGAAUAUCGUGCUCGAACACGCAGAGAUCCUGGUUCAAUGCCUUUUAGUGGUAUGUGGGAGCUGAGCAGAAACCAUUCGUCUGUG